UACGUAGGAUGCAAGCGUUAUCCGGAAUUAUUGGGCGUAAAGCGUCCGCAGGUGGCACUACAAGUCUGCUGUCAAAGGCUGGGGCUCAACCUCAGAACGGCAGUGGAAACUGUAAGGCUAGAGAACGGAAGGGGCAGAGGGAAUUCCCAGUGUAGCGGUGAAAUGCGUAGAGAUUGGGAAGAACACCAGUGGCGAAAGCGCUUUGCUAGGCCGGAUCUGACACUGAGGGACGAAAGCUAGGGGAGCGAAUGGG
Molecule: ribosomal RNA, 253 nt
Filed under: uncultured bacterium
Lineage: Bacteria
Description: partial 16S ribosomal RNA
Rfam family: Bacterial small subunit ribosomal RNA
Source: RNAcentral